ACAACGCUGGCGGCAGGCCUAACACAUGCAAGUCGAACGGCAGCGGGGAGUAGCUUGCUACUCUGCCGGCGAGUGGCGGACGGGUGAGUAAUGUCUGGGAAACUGCCUGAUGGCGGGGGAUAACUACUGGAAACGGUAGCUAAUACCGCAUAACGUCGCAAGACCAAAGAGGGGGACCUUCGGGCCUCUUGCCAUCAGAUGUGCCCAGAUGGGAUUAGCUUGUUGGUGGGGUAACGGCUCACCAAGGCGACGAUCCCUAGCUGGUCUGAGAGGAUGACCAGCCACACUGGAACUGAGACACGGUCCAGACUCCUACGGGA
This 320-nucleotide ribosomal RNA is filed under the name Enterobacter sp. TJI-33. RNAcentral describes it as "bacterial SSU rRNA". It matches the Rfam family "Bacterial small subunit ribosomal RNA", at positions 32 to 346 of the family's 1533-position model. The record is from RNAcentral. Lineage: Bacteria; Pseudomonadati; Pseudomonadota; Gammaproteobacteria; Enterobacterales; Enterobacteriaceae.